UUCCUCUUCCAUUUCACCUACAUGGCUACACCCCCCAAAACCCAGUCUAAGCAAGUGAGCCUUGAAGACAUUGCCCUGAAACGCGAAAAAAGGCCUCUGCUAUAAUUGCAAGGACAAAUGAGGUUCUAACCACCGUUGUAAGGCACGGUUCUUUUUGUUGGUAGCGGAAGACAACGACAUUCCUCUUGAACCUACCCCUCAGUCCCUCAUACUCGACCUUGAACCACCUCCAUUACCUAACUCCUCUAACACCGAUCAUGCUCAGAUUAGCUUCAACGCACUCUCCAGCACUUCGGCAUCGGAAUCCCUCCGCAUAUAUGGUGACGUCAAUUAGUCUCGCGUCACAGUAUUGAUCGACGGAGGCAGUACCAAUAACUUCAUUCAAAC
RNAcentral lists this unclassified non-coding RNA (387 nucleotides) under uncultured bacterium. Its description in RNAcentral is "contains 16S-23S intergenic spacer region". The record is from RNAcentral.